This 45-nucleotide non-coding RNA is filed under the name Schistosoma haematobium. The record is from RNAcentral. Lineage: Eukaryota; Metazoa; Platyhelminthes; Trematoda; Strigeidida; Schistosomatidae.
GUCCAGCCGAAGAGUCACAAAUAGAACGAAACGCGAGUCCUGGAU